AGCCAUCUCAACAAGAAGAUGUCUUUCUGCAAACCAGGAAAAGAGCCCUCACCAGCCAUCAGAUCUGCUGGCACCUUGAACUUGGACUUCCCAGCCUCCAGGACUCGACUGAAGACUGACACAGCCCGAUCGCCUCGGAAGCCCCCUGGGCCAUCAUGGACGCCGAGCUUCGGGUAACUCUUACAGUGGAGGACAGGAAUGUCAGGCCUCUGAGCCCAAGCUAAGCCAUCAUAUCCCCAGUGACCUGCACGUAUAUAUCAAGAUGGCCUGAAGCAACUGAAGAUCCACAGAAGUGAAAAUAGCCUUAACUGAUGACAUUCCACCAUUGUGAUUUGUUUCUGCCCCACCUUAACUGAUCAAUGUACUUUGUAAUCUCCCCCACCCUUAAGAAGGUUCUUUAUAAUGUCACCCACCCUUAAGAAGUUUCUUUGUAAUUCUCCCCACCCUUGAGAAUGUACUUUGUGAGAUCCAUCCCCUGCCCCCAAAACAUUGCUCUUAACUCUACUGCCUAUCCCAAAACCUAUAAGAACCAAUGAUAAUCCCACCACCCUUUGCUGACUCUCUUUUCGGACUCAGCCCGCCUGCAUCCAGGUGAAAUAAACAGCCUUGUUGC
RNAcentral lists this long non-coding RNA (613 nucleotides) under Homo sapiens (human). Lineage: Eukaryota; Metazoa; Chordata; Mammalia; Primates; Hominidae. The record is from RNAcentral.